Molecule: long non-coding RNA, 610 nt
Organism: Petromyzon marinus (sea lamprey)
Lineage: Eukaryota; Metazoa; Chordata; Hyperoartia; Petromyzontiformes; Petromyzontidae
Source: RefSeq, a predicted model, not a curated record
GAAUCGCUUCCGGCAAUGAAUCGAAGCCGCUUUAAUCGAUACAAAUCAGUAGGAAGCUUUUCGAGUAAAUUAUUUUUUUACCUCAGGCAAACGGGCGACAGCCGAAGACUUUAAAGAUUAACAAAUACAAAGUUUUUAACUUUACAUCUUGAACCAUGGUGUGACUCAUAAUAAAGGCGUGCACGUACGUGGGCAGGAGGAUCGCGGGCGCCCUCAGAGACCGCGAUGGCACCCAGGAGGCUCGCUCCGAGCGUCCGGGCAGCGUCGCUCCCUCACCCACGGUCGCCCAGGGAGGUGGAGGCUACCCACAGGGGCCCAUCGACUCGCCAAGACUCCGGGUAGAGGCGUCCAGCGGGGAGCCCACAGGGCCUGUCUGCAAAACCUGACCCUAGCCUCGCCUCGUGAAUGUUCAUGAGUGGGCCGGACCCUGAUGAAUAUUCAUGAGUGGGUGAGCCCUGAUGAAUAUUCAUGAGUGGGCAAGCCCUGAUGAAUGUUCAUGAGUGGGCCGGACCCUGAUGAAUAUUCAUGAGUGGGCCAGACCCUGAUGAAUAUUCAUGAGUGGGCUGGACCCUGAUGAAUAUUCAUGAGUGGGCCACGCCUCGUGAAUAUU